ACGGCGGGCCGUGACUGGCGCGCUGGGAUGGGACGGACCAUCGGGGAGCGGCCCGGAGUGACCGAGUGCCGUGCGCCUGGGCCAGACCG
This 89-nucleotide non-coding RNA is filed under the name Streptomyces phaeoluteigriseus. RNAcentral's name for it is "ZTP sequence". It matches the Rfam family "ZMP/ZTP riboswitch aptamer (pfl RNA motif)". Rfam says of the family: Previously known as pfl RNA. ZMP is also known as AICAR. The record is from RNAcentral. Lineage: Bacteria; Bacillati; Actinomycetota; Actinomycetes; Kitasatosporales; Streptomycetaceae.